AGUAAGACCCCUUGAAGAACACAAGGUUGAUAGGUCAGAGGUGUAAGUGCGGUAACGUAUGUAGCUGACUGAUACUAAUAGGUCGAGGGCUUGACCAA
This 98-nucleotide ribosomal RNA is filed under the name Clostridium sp. RNAcentral describes it as "partial 23S ribosomal RNA". It matches the Rfam family "Bacterial large subunit ribosomal RNA", at positions 2827 to 2925 of the family's 2925-position model. The record is from RNAcentral. Lineage: Bacteria; Bacillati; Bacillota; Clostridia; Eubacteriales; Clostridiaceae. RNAcentral also lists the same sequence under 1 other name.